CCCUUAGAUGUCCUGGGCCGCACGCGCGCUACACUGAGUGUCUGAGAUACGAGUCUGCCUGGUCCGGCAAGGUCUAGGUAAUCGCUAAAAGACACAUCAUGCUUGGGAUCGAUUAUUGCAAAUAUUAAUCUUGAACGAGGAAUUCCUAGUAAGCGCAAGUCAACAGCUUGCGUUGAUUACGUCCCUGCCCUUUGUACACACCGCCCGUCGCUACUACUGAUUGGAUGUUUAAGCGAGGUUCUCGAACUGCUAGCGACUUAGCUUCGGUGAGGUCGCAGUGUGGGAAGUGAACCUAGCUUUGGUGUCUAGAGGAAGUAAAAGUCGUAACA
RNAcentral lists this ribosomal RNA (329 nucleotides) under uncultured eukaryote. Its description in RNAcentral is "partial 18S ribosomal RNA". It matches the Rfam family "Eukaryotic small subunit ribosomal RNA", at positions 1470 to 1796 of the family's 1831-position model. The record is from RNAcentral.